RNAcentral lists this small nucleolar RNA (146 nucleotides) under Fragaria vesca subsp. vesca. RNAcentral's name for it is "Small nucleolar RNA snoR138". It matches the Rfam family "Small nucleolar RNA snoR138". Lineage: Eukaryota; Viridiplantae; Streptophyta; Magnoliopsida; Rosales; Rosaceae. The record is from Rfam by way of RNAcentral.
UCUGCCCACGAAUAACCAAUCUGUGAAACGAUACCGUUUGGUUCAGACAUGGGCGCACAGCGAUUCGAAGCCAUCUAAGGGAUGACCAACUCUACUAUUCCUUGUGUUCAUCCUUUUGUUGUUUUACAACUCCGCUUCGGACAUUU